CUGUUUCUUAGCCCUUUCCCUAGGGGGCCAGGGAAGACAAGGAAUUGCUUGUCAACUGAGACAUGCGAGGGGUGGCAGGGAAGGGCAGAAGUAGGAAAAGCAGCAGCACAGCAAGCAGCAGGCCACUUCCCGGGCACGGUUACUAAGGCACGUGACCAUGGUGAGGAGGAUCCUCAGGACCCGGCUGGAGCUGCCUGCAGCCACCCGGGGACUCGGUCUGUGCCUCUUGACCUCCCCUCCAUCACCACAAACCCAGAAAGGGGCAACCUGCCCAGACUGCAAGUGACUAAAUGGGCACUCCAUGGCAUCUUAGCAACUCUCCUGCCCCAGGCCUCUGUGGGCAGCAAGAAAGCCAGAGCUAUCUAGGAUAAAACCCAGGAGGCAGCAUGUGGAGAUAAUGGGCGGUCUGACUCACCGCAAUCUGGCAGAUAAAGAGGAUACAACGCAGAGCGUACCAGCGCGCCCAGGUGGUCAAAAUAGUAACAUUUGCUCAUAUCCUCUUUUCAGGCAGCGACCUACCUGCUCCCAUAACUCUAAAUCUAAGGUUCCUUGAUCAGGAAACCAAGGGCAUCCCUGCCGAAUUAAAAGCAUAAGCUUGUGUAGAGCUCCAGGCUCUACAGUGCACUGGAUAGCCUUAAGUAGCUGUUGCACUGUUUUAAAAAAUACUUUCUGUUCUUUGGUCAUUUCCUGACCCAUGAUGACCCAACCCCUGGUAUUUUACGCGUGGGUCCCGUCCUCCUAAUGGCAAUCAGGACUGUCCCUUACUGGGAUUCCCCAAAAAUUAAGGAGUUUUCCUCCUUCACGUGCAACUUCAAGGCGAUCACUUCGGGCGCACCACUUGUAGAGUUUAUAGCUUGCAGUGAACGCCCAGAAUGAGUUCUCAGACAAUUCCAGCUGAGCGGAGCGGCGGACCACUCUUCUGAGAGAGUGUCACCCCAGAAUCCAUCCGCCAAGUAUUUAUUGAAAGGGCUUGUUAAACUACAAACAUCCACUAGAUGGCCUCUUGAGGUCGGGUCGUGACACACCUGUGGCCUUCUAAAAGCAUUCAAACCACAUUCUCAGGAGGCUGUUUUCAGCGUUCCUCAUGACACACUCCACUCCUUGUCCUGUUUUCAGGGUCAAGGAGUUACAUUUCCAUGCACAAAUAACAUACACACAGUGCCUCCGUCUUUUUCCAUGCCCCGACCUCAAAUGCUUUGUAUACAAGCUUGAAUUUGUUGCCAUGCACCCCCAACAACCCUCUGCCCAUUUGGCUGGCAAAGCAACUGGUUGUGCCCUCAAUAAACAGUACUGACUUUGGGAA
Homo sapiens (human) is the source of this 1303-nucleotide long non-coding RNA. RefSeq lists it as uncharacterized. The record is from RefSeq and is a predicted model, not a curated record. The transcript is spliced from 2 exons. NCBI's taxonomy places the organism in Eukaryota, Metazoa, Chordata, Mammalia, Primates, Hominidae.